UAUAAACUUGUUGAAAUUGCCGCUGUAAACAAUUCCUGAUGACGUUAGGGCGACCAGGAUUGAGGGACGGUGAAGCGGGUAGCCGAGGGACUGACGGCUGGACGGGAUCCCUGCUACAUCAUCCAUCUUCUUGAGAGGCUGGAUGAGAUCGUCAACGUAAAAGUUCCUGAUGAUGAGCCAGAUGAGCAGAAAGUUCCAGAUAGUCCCCCAACUGCAAAGAAACCGCCGUACACUUAUCCGGAGUUGAUCGAAAGGGCUUUGAGAGAGAACGGAGAAUUGACUGUGUCAGCUAUUUAUCAGUGGAUAUCUGACCGUUUCCCAUUUUACAAAGCGAAUGAUGAGCGCUGGAAAAAUUCAGUACGACACAACCUCUCAAUCAACCCACAUUUUCGGAAAGGAGCACGAGCGUCGCAAGGCGCCGGUCACCUCUGGUCGCUGGCAGCCAAUGCCAUCGACUUGCUACCUCUGCGAAACCAGACCUAUGUGGACAUGGAGAAGACGGAAGAGGUACAGGAGGCGCAACUUAUCGAAUGUCCAAAAGUCAUAGUUUUAGACGAAGCCGCAAUAGCGGCGGCCAGUAUCAUUCCAGACCAAGAUCUAUUCACAGGUAACACAAUGUUUCUAAAUCCAGUGUCAACAGAGCAAGUGGUCCGCGAGUGUGGCCUCAUCACUAUGUGAUUUUAAGUAAAAUCCUAGCGUUAUUGAAAUGUACUGAAAAACUACUACGAAUUCGGCUUGUUUACUCAUUUUACGUAAUUUAGUGACCCACUAUCGAAUCGUUUAAUUACUCAUCUUUAAUUAUGUUUACUAAUAACUAUUAUAUUAUUAAAUAUGUUCGUAAACAAACUUGAGGUGACAGAAAUAAUUUUGAAAUACUUAACCAAGACCUCAAUAGGGCGAUAUUUUGAAGUUGCAAAAUACAGUAUUAAGUAUAUGUGUUAAGACAUGGUUCGCCCUAACAGAUAUAAAUAAUUAGAUUAUUAAAGGAAUCCGCUAACCCUAAAUAGAACACUAUAAUAAAUUAAGCUACAACGGCUGCAGGUUACUCAUCAGAUAAUUUGCGUGUAUUAUCUCUAAGCCGUCAUGUGAAUUUUUGUAGCCUUCUUUCAUAUAAAAUAUACUGUAAAAAUUUGUAAAAUAUCCUGGGCAAAAUUAUCUUCUCCUAUAAAUAAGAUAUGUCGGAGUUUAAUCUGAUAUACUGUUUCUUUGAACUGCGACAAAGCCUUAAAAAUUGCUUAAUUUGAAUUGAUAGAUGAAUAAUGAUAAAACAGAGCAAAUUUCAAUUUACUAUUGUCAAUUCCAUAUAAAGGUUUGUGUGAUAACGAUUGUUACUCAUAGUAGCGGACAUAUCUAUCAAUCCGAUGGAGCAGCGUGGUGGGUUAAGCUCUCAAUCCUUCUUCUACAUGAAGAAAUCCUAUUUAUUUAUUUCCAUAAACCUUAUAUAAAAAAAUUAAUAAAUAUACGAAUAAAAUUUGACUUAUAUUCCAGCGCUGCAAUAUAUAAUAUUGUCACUUACAAUGCGGAG
RNAcentral lists this unclassified non-coding RNA (1525 nucleotides) under Melitaea cinxia (Glanville fritillary). RNAcentral describes it as "misc RNA ENSMCXG00005004922.1". The record is from RNAcentral. Lineage: Eukaryota; Metazoa; Arthropoda; Insecta; Lepidoptera; Nymphalidae.